UCUCUUAUCCAGUGUCAGUGACAAAUUUUGCAUGUAAAACUCCCGAUCCAAAGCCGACAGCAAAAUUAAAGUUGGUUUGAAACCCUUAGCUAAGACAAGGGGUUCCCGAGGAUGAGUGCUCCCCCCGAUAUGUCCCUUGGCUGGCAGAGGUGCUGGGAGAGCUGUAAUUAAUAACUCUGUGCUUAAUAACUCUAUCUCUGGGCGAGAAGGGAUGUGUAGGCUCGUCGUUUCCCCGUCUGUGCUGGCACACCGUGCAGCAGGACACCCCAGGCACGGGUGGCAGCACAGCCCAGGUACGGGUGGCAGCACACACCAGGUACGGGUGGCAGCACACACCAGGUACGGGUGGCAGCACACCCAGCCCUGCAGUGAGCUAUGGCACGGGACCCUCACUGGUGGUGCCAUUCCCAGCAGGAUCAGACCCACCCUGCUCCACCCCUGCCAGCUGAGCACUCACAGCUCGGUGCUGCUCCCCCUGAAAACCCCUGGCUGCGCAGGAUUUGGGUGAACGAGGAGAGGCAGGCCCCGGUUUGCACAGGGCAGUGCUCACACAGCUUCUCGGAAACGGCUGAGCAGGGUGUCAGCAGCAAAGGGCGUGUGGUGACAGUGCCUCUCGCCACGGGAUGCCACAGGAAUUAAUCAUGAUUCACUGCUGACAUUAAUGAAUUGCAAAACUUGGAGGUUCUCACCCACUCACGGGAGGCGAUGUGCUCUGUGCCUGGGAUGGACAGAGACUGUGGCAGGAGAGCCACUGGUGGCUCCCAGGUGUCACUUUACAACAGGGGGGGUUUCUCAUUUUCCCUCUCCAAAAUAAGAUUUAAAGCCCACACUGUGUGACACAUGUGCCAUGGCCAUCCUGUCAUUUUUGUGUGUGAGCAAACUGGAAACAUUUUUCAGCCCAUCUGAAUCCCAGGAGCCAUGGCAAAAUGGGGCACAGACUGCGUGUCAGGGCCGGGAGAGCCUCGUGUGUCCCACAGCAGCCCCACCUUUGCCUUCUGCAGAAUUAAUUCCUAAUUCCUUGGUGGCUGUAUGUGUCCCUUAACUAACUUCUGUCUGUUAAUGCCAGACUUGAAUAAGUCAUUACUGAAGCUGAAAUGAUUUCAUUAAAUGAAAAGACAUUUUAAAAAAAUAUAUUAGAGCUUCAAAUAAGAUGUUUUGCUUGUGUCCUGCUAUAAAACAGCCACAAAGCAGAGCUUGCUGUAAUUAUGGGAAUUACAAGUAUUAAUUUUAUUUCUAGGAACUGGUGCUGCUGCCAUUUACACCCUGCAUCUCAAGCUAAGCUGCACAACACAAUUAAUGUCUAGACCAGAGUUCUGCCAGGGACUGCAAGGGCUCUGGAGCCUCAGCCCCAGGAGCAGCGCUGAGCUGGCACCAGCCAGGGGCCACCUGCAGGGACAGGGGCCACCUGCGGGGACAGGGGCUACCUGCGGGGACUAUGGGCCACCUGCAGGGACAGGGGCCACCUGCGGGGACAGGGGCUACCUGCGGGGACUAUGGGCCACCUGCAGGGACAGGGGCCACCUGCGGGGACAGGGGCUACCUGCGGGGACUAUGGGCC
Molecule: long non-coding RNA, 1558 nt
Filed under: Ficedula albicollis (Collared flycatcher)
Lineage: Eukaryota; Metazoa; Chordata; Aves; Passeriformes; Muscicapidae
Description: lncRNA (ENSFALG00000025803.1)
Source: RNAcentral